CCUACGGGAGGCAGCAGUGGGGGAUAUUGCACAAUGGGGGAAACCCUGAUGCAGCGACGCCGCGUGGGUGAAGAAGCGCCUCGGCGCGUAAAGCCCUGUCAGCAGGGAAGAAGAUGACGGUACCUGAAGAAGAAGCCCCGGCUAAAUACGUGCCAGCAGCCGCGGUAAUACGUAGGGGGCAAGCGUUAUCCGGAUUUACUGGGUGUAAAGGGGGCGCAGGCGGGGAUGCAAGCCAGGAGUGAAAGCCCGGGGCCCAACCCCGGGACUGCUCUUGGAACUGCGUGGCUAGAGUGCAGGAGGGGCAGGCGGAAUUCCUGGUGUAGCGGUGAAAUGCGUAGAUAUCAGGAGGAACACCAGUGGCGAAGGCGGCCUGCUGGACUGCAACUGACGUUGAGGCCCGAAAGCGUGGGGAGCAAACAGGAUUAGAUACCCCUGUAGUC
Molecule: ribosomal RNA, 440 nt
Filed under: uncultured bacterium
Lineage: Bacteria
Description: partial 16S ribosomal RNA
Rfam family: Bacterial small subunit ribosomal RNA
Source: RNAcentral